This is a non-coding RNA of Pangasius djambal, 72 nucleotides long. NCBI's taxonomy places the organism in Eukaryota, Metazoa, Chordata, Actinopteri, Siluriformes, Pangasiidae. The record is from the annotation of a GenBank genome assembly.
GUUUUGGUGGACUAGUGGCUAUCAUGUGCCUCUCUCACUGCCACGACCCGGGUUCGAUUCCCGGUCAGGGAA